AGUGAACGCUGGCGGCGUGCUUAACACAUGCAAGUCGAACGCGAAAGGGUAGCAAUACCCGAGUAGAGUGGCGAACGGGUGAGUAAAAUGUGGGUAAUCUAGCUUUCAGAGGGGGAUAACCCGGGGAAACCUGGGCUAAAACCGCGUAACAUCGGUACGAUCACGGUCGUAUGGAUCAAAACAUGGCCUCUAUUUAUAAG
RNAcentral lists this ribosomal RNA (200 nucleotides) under uncultured bacterium. RNAcentral describes it as "partial 16S ribosomal RNA". It matches the Rfam family "Bacterial small subunit ribosomal RNA", at positions 29 to 215 of the family's 1533-position model. The record is from RNAcentral.